Long non-coding RNA from Sinocyclocheilus rhinocerous, 503 nucleotides. RefSeq lists it as uncharacterized. The record is from RefSeq and is a predicted model, not a curated record. NCBI's taxonomy places the organism in Eukaryota, Metazoa, Chordata, Actinopteri, Cypriniformes, Cyprinidae. The transcript is spliced from 3 exons.
UCUAGAGAACAAGAAUCAUACAGUGGUCAAGAUAAUUGAUCAGAAUCACUGGCAGAUUAUAUUCAUCUCUGCUUUCAUAAAUGCUCUUCUGAUCAUUGUGAUCAUAGGACUAUUGAAGCUUCUUGUUGAUGGAAGAAACAGAGACAACCUGAAACAAUUUCAAGAUACAAACCUGCAGAAUCUUCAAGUUAUGGAUUUCGAACAACCUCAAGACUCGAGCCAAACACUGAUACAUUACAUGAAAAUAUAAAUUGCAGUUGUAACAAAAUAAUUAAGCCACAGCACAAAGGAAAUGUUCCUGACCACAAGAGAGCAGUGUUGAGCUAGAAAACCAAGAACGAACCAAACAAACAAAGGCAAUAAAUGUUCAAAAUCUGUUUGCAUUUCCAUUGUGUUGUGAAUCUUUGUUUGCUCAAUGUGGGCAUGUGUUUUGUGUAAGAACUACAUCUAAGGAUGUGGAUUUUGUCUGUUAGUUAUAUUUAGGUCAUAUAUUAAAAAAAGAC